This 386-nucleotide ribosomal RNA is filed under the name uncultured bacterium. Its description in RNAcentral is "bacterial SSU rRNA". It matches the Rfam family "Bacterial small subunit ribosomal RNA", at positions 30 to 415 of the family's 1533-position model. The record is from RNAcentral.
AUUGAACGCUGGCGGCAGGCCUAACACAUGCAAGUCGAGCGGAUGAGUGGAGCUUGCUCCAUGAUUCAGCGGCGGACGGGUGAGUAAUGCCUAGGAAUCUGCCCUGGUAGUGGGGGACAACGUUUCGAAAGGAACGCUAAUACCGCAUACGUCCUACGGGAGAAAGCAGGGGACCUUCGGGCCUUGCGCUAUCAGAUGAGCCUAGGUCGGAUUAGCUAGUAGGUGAGGUAAUGGCUCACCUAGGCGACGAUCCGUAACUGGUCUGAGAGGAUGAUCAGUCACACUGGAACUGAGACACGGUCCAGACUCCUACGGGAGGCAGCAUGGGGAAUAUUGGACAAUGGGCGAAAGACCUGAUCCAGCCAUGCCGCGUGUGUGAAGAAGGU